ACAACUAGAACCUUAACCGGAUCUUAAAAGCCUAAGUAGUGUUUUCUUGUUAGUAGAUACAAAGACAAAGACUCAUACGGAGUUUAGCUACACCAUAAAAGCUUUGAGAAGCAAGAAUAAGCUUGGUUAGUGUUUUGUAGUCAAAUAUGACUAGAUGUCAUGUGUAUGAGUGAGUAUAACAACUAGAACCGCAACCUGAUCUUAAAAGCCUAUGUAUUGUACCCUUGUUAGAAGAUACAAAGACAAAGACUCAUACGAACUUCAACUAUAUCAUCAAUGCUUUGAGAAGCAAGAAGAACCUUGGUUAGUGUUUUGGAGUCAAAUAUAAAUUGAUGUCAUGUGUAUGAUUGAGUAUAAGAACUUAAACCGCAACUGGAUCUUAAAAGCCUAAGUAGUGUUUUCUUGUUAGUAGAUACAAAGACAAACACUCAUACGGAGUAUAGCUACAGCAUAAAAGCUUUGAGAAGCAAGAAUAAGCUUGGUUUGUGUUUUGGAGUCAAAUAUGACUAGAUGUCAUGUGUAUGAGUGAGUAUAACAACUAGAACCGCAACCGGAUCUUAAAAGCCUAAGUAUUGUGUCCUUGUUAGAAGAUACAAAGACAAAGACUCAUACGGACUUCGGCUACACCAUCAAAGCUUUGAGAAGCAAGAAGAAGCUUGGUUAGUGUUUUGUAGUCAAAUAUGACUUGAUUUUAUGUUUAUGAUUGAGUAUAAGAACAUAAACCGCAACCGGAUCUUAAAAGCCUAAGUAGUGUUUCCUUGUCAAUAGAUACAAAGACAACGACGCAUACUGACUUCAGCUACACCAUCAAAGCUUUGAGAAGCAAGAAGAAGCUUGGUUAAUGUUUUGGAGUCAAAUAU
RNAcentral lists this small RNA (860 nucleotides) under Arabidopsis thaliana (thale cress). RNAcentral describes it as "ATSL271720". Lineage: Eukaryota; Viridiplantae; Streptophyta; Magnoliopsida; Brassicales; Brassicaceae. The record is from RNAcentral.